Molecule: non-coding RNA, 1983 nt
Organism: Meleagris gallopavo (turkey)
Lineage: Eukaryota; Metazoa; Chordata; Aves; Galliformes; Phasianidae
Source: RefSeq, a predicted model, not a curated record
GGGAGGGUGUCCUCCCUUGGGGCGUCUCUCUGUGCUCGGGCCGCGCUCCUCAGGGCGUCGGAGGCCGGGGAGAAACGUUCCCCUCCUUUUCUUGCUUCUCAGAAUCACAGAGUCGCAGGGGUUGGAAGGGACCUCAGGAGAUGAUCGAGUCCAACCUCUCUGCUAAUCAAAUACCCAGGUAUUCACACAGAUGUCAAGCACUACGCUGAUGUUCCCGUGGAACUGCUUUCAAAAUUCCAGCACUCUCCCAAUAAGCACUGACCAGAUGACCUGCAUAUUCAUUUGUAAAGAAAACAUUGUGAGCUACCUAAUUACUGGAGUUCAUUUGGGUCAAGAUAGAUGAAAGACUCCAGCCCACUUGAACCCUCUUCUGAAGAACCUCUACUGAAGGAACACAAAAGUACUCUCUAUCCUCCCUGGCCUUAGAAUACAUUGUAAGCUUUAAGAUCCAGCUCAGCAAGUAAAGUGCUCUUUUGAGACAUGGAAGAUGUGGAAGACACCAAGGAGGCAUCAAGCCAUAUCAAGCUGGCUUGGUAUGUAAGGGUGGUGAGCCCCAGGCUCCCAUCUAUUUGGUCUGCUAUAACCACUAAGAUGCUAGUAGUUGCAGUUCUGUUCUGCUUGUGAUGAUUAGAUGAAGUCCUCCACCAUUUUCUCUCUGUUAAUAGGAGAAUUAUAAAGAUUAGGGAAAUAAAGAUAAAUAACAUACAUGUCUCAGGAGAAGUUGCCUGACUGAGACUAACAGCACUGUAGGGAUUGCUGGUUAUGUUUCUUCUUAGAGGACAUGUUCUGUUUACUUGCCAGAUGAGCAGAAGACUUGAUAAACUUAUGCUGCCUGUACCAUAUUCUGAAUGCCUUUCCCAUCCACUGAAAAAAAAAAAAAUACUGGAAAAAAUACUGGAUAUAGCAGUUACAGCCUCUGUGCUGAAGGAGUCAAUGAUAAAGCUAUAUUGUCCUUAAUGGAAGCUAGAAAUGAUCCAAUGUUUCAGUCUGUGAGGUUUAUUAUCACUUUGUCUUCCCUAUUCAUCGUGAUCAGCAGCCAAGCAACAACAUUUCUUCAAAGUUUGGAAGUUAAACUGAAAUGUUUAGGGCUGCCAACACAUACAGAACAUAAUAUAUAUGUGAGAUAUGUAAUAAAUAUGGAAUAUAUGAACAGUUCAUAUGUAGAUCUGUCACUUCAGACUUAAGUCUGUAUAAUUAGACUUUUUGAAAGAGUUUCUUUACAUUUGCAAUGCUGCACAUUCUGCCGUUGAUCCUGUUGAAUCCUGUUGACAAAGCAAUAUCAUUAUCAAGUUAAAACAGUCAACAAGUGGAUUUAACACAAGUAGGUGUUUCCACCAUAGUUGGGAAAUGAAAAAUAUUGCUAAUGUAACCAAAUUAACAAAAUGUACUGUUUAAAAAACUGCAUGUAAAAAUUAUUGUGGUAUUAUUGACAUUUAAAAAAAAAAAAGCUUGACUUUUGCAACCCAUCAUUUUCAAAUCAACAGUUAAUUCCUUAAUUCAACAAUUCUUAGUAAUGGAGCAAAGCAGUAGUGAGUACAGGAUUCAUACAUGAACUUCAGAAAGUCAGCAUUUCAUUUAGUGGUUAACUUCAGAAUCUCUUCUAUUGCAAAGACUCUCUGUUAAAAAAAUAAAAAAUAAUAAAAAAGAGAAUUAAAAAUGACCUUUUUAAGUAUUCCACAAAUUAAUUUUGGUUGAGGUUUAAGGGAAAAGCAGCAUAGGUUGUUGAAUGAAGAGAAGAUGUUUAAAUAAAAAAGUUGAGAAAUAAAAUAUCUAAUGGCCUGUUCACUGAGUAUGCAUACUGUCGUGCCUUUCUGAAGCAGCCAAGGUGCGCACUGAAAACUGGGGAGAGUACAAAGCUCUUGAGCACAGUUUUCUGAAUUCUCUGCUCAAUUUCACUAGCAACUCACUAUCUGUCUCAGCCCACCUGACCUCUGAUACUCUACUUCUUUUUCUGUAGCUUCUGGGGAAAAAAAUAAAUAAAUA